This 45-nucleotide non-coding RNA is filed under the name Schistosoma mansoni. Lineage: Eukaryota; Metazoa; Platyhelminthes; Trematoda; Strigeidida; Schistosomatidae. The record is from RNAcentral.
GUCUAGCUGACGAGUCCCAAAUGAGACGAAACACUCGUCCUGGAU